RNAcentral lists this ribosomal RNA (253 nucleotides) under uncultured bacterium. RNAcentral's name for it is "partial 16S ribosomal RNA". It matches the Rfam family "Bacterial small subunit ribosomal RNA", at positions 524 to 776 of the family's 1533-position model. The record is from RNAcentral.
UACGGAGGGGGCUAGCGUUGUUCGGAAUUACUGGGCGUAAAGCGCGCGUAGGCGGCCCUGCAAGUCGGGGGUGAAAGCCCGAGGCUCAACCUCGGAACUGCCUUCGAUACUGCGGGUCUCGAGUCCGGGAGAGGUGAGUGGAAUUCCUAGUGUAGAGGUGAAAUUCGUAGAUAUUAGGAAGAACACCAGUGGCGAAGGCGGCUCACUGGCCCGGUACUGACGCUGAGGCGCGAAAGCGAGGGGAGCAAACAGG